Molecule: ribosomal RNA, 468 nt
Filed under: uncultured bacterium
Lineage: Bacteria
Description: partial 16S ribosomal RNA
Rfam family: Bacterial small subunit ribosomal RNA
Source: RNAcentral
GACGAACGCUGGCGGCGUGCUUAACACAUGCAAGUCGAACGGAAAGGCCCUGCUUUUGUGGGGUGCUCGAGUGGCGAACGGGUGAGUAACACGUGAGUAACCUGCCCUUGACUUUGGGAUAACUUCAGGAAACUGGGGCUAAUACCGGAUAGGAGCUCCUGCUGCAUGGUGGGGGUUGGAAAGUUUCGGCGGUUGGGGAUGGACUCGCGGCUUAUCAGCUUGUUGGUGGGGUAGUGGCUUACCAAGGCUUUGACGGGUAGCCGGCCUGAGAGGGUGACCGGCCCCCCUGGGCCCUGGGAUACGGCCCGGACCCUAACGGGGGCACGAGGUGGGAAAUUUUCAACAAGGGGCGGAGCCAGAGUCAGGAACGGCCGGCGGGGGAAGACCGACUUUGGGGUGUAAACCGCUUUCGCCUGUGACGAAGCGUGAGUGACGGUAAUGGGUAAAGAAGCACCGGCUAACUACGUG